CAAACAUAGCCCCAGAAAACAUCUGAGGUGUAACCUGCCCAGUGAUUUUUAAAUAUAAUAAAGAAAAAUUAUGAAAUAAAAUUAAAAGGACGCGGUAACCUUGACCGUGAUAAUGUAGCAUAAUCAUUCGCCAUUUAAUUGAUGGAUAGUAUGAAUGGUUGAACGAAUAUUUCACUGUCUUAAAAAGAAAUACCAAAAAAUUGGAAUAAUAGUAAAGAUACUAUUUAAGAUUGUAAGACGAAAAGACCCUAUAGAGCUUAACUAUAUUCUAUUUAAAUUAAAAGAACAAAAGUUCAAAAACAAAUAGAAUGGUAGUUUAGUUGGGGCGACUAUCUUUUAAAAAAAACAAAGAUAAGCAAAGUCAAUAAAAAAAACUUAUUGUAUAAUCCAUAGAUUUAACAAUUAUAAAAAUAGGCUAUAAUGACCCGUUGUAAUUUUAUAAAAGAAAUAACGAUCAAUAAAUAAAAGCUACCUUAGGGAUAACAGGAUAAUUUUAUUUUAGAGAUCUUAUCGAAAAUAAAGUUUGUCACCUCUAUGUUGAAUUAAGAUAUCCUGGUAAUGCAGAAGUUACCAAAGGUGGGUCUGUUCGACCCUUAAAAUCUUACAUGAUUUG
Molecule: ribosomal RNA, 613 nt
Filed under: Amphisbetia distans
Lineage: Eukaryota; Metazoa; Cnidaria; Hydrozoa; Leptothecata; Sertulariidae
Description: Sertularia distans partial 16S ribosomal RNA
Rfam family: Bacterial large subunit ribosomal RNA
Source: RNAcentral